AUACGGAGGAUCCAAGCGUUAUCCGGAUUUAUUGGGUUUAAAGGGUGCGCAGGCGGAAUGAUAAGUCGGUGGUGAAAUCUUACGGCUCAACUGUAAAACUGCCAUUGAUACUGUCGUUCUUGAGUAUAGUUGAAGUGGGCGGAAUGUGUCAUGUAGCGGUGAAAUGCAUAGAUAUGACACAGAACACCGAUUGCGAAGGCAGCUUACUGGGCCGUUACUGACGCUGAUGCACGAAAGCGUGGGGAUC
RNAcentral lists this ribosomal RNA (247 nucleotides) under uncultured bacterium. RNAcentral's name for it is "partial 16S ribosomal RNA". It matches the Rfam family "Bacterial small subunit ribosomal RNA", at positions 523 to 769 of the family's 1533-position model. The record is from RNAcentral.